UAUAUAUAUAUAGUCCGGCUGCUAUGCUAUCGAUAGUACAAAGUACUUGGUGCUAUCAAGUUUUUUGCCGUUAGAUUAAUCCCUUUGAUUAUUUUUACCCGUUAGAUUAUACUAUUCAACCAAUCACCCACUCAACCCUAGGGAGCCCACAUCAUCCUAACUGCACAUCUUUUAAUCCAAGGGUAAAAAAACUUAAUAUCACAAAGUCAUUGGUGCUAUUAAUAAUAUUCCAGCUUAGUUCUCUCUCUCUCUCUCUAUCUAUCUCUCUUUCUCUCUCUCUCUCUCUCUAUAUAUAUAUAGAGAGAGAGAGAGAGAGUCGGGCCGGAAUACUAUUAAUAACAAAAGGUCUUUUUUGCUAUCAAGUUUUUAACCUUUCGAUAAAAAAUUGUAGAGUUAGCAUGAUAUUAGUCCCUUAGGGUUGAGUGGUCCCCUUAGGAUUGAGUGGUCUCCACUGUGUUAUAAUAUUUAAUCCAAUGGUUAGAAAUGAUGAAAAGUUAAAAACUUGAUAACAAAAAGGGCCUUAUAAUAUUUGACAUGUUCUCUGUCAAAUCCCUAUAUAAUUUAUUACAAAACGGUGGUAUACGUGUCAAGUACUUUAACCAAUUACAAAACGGUGGUAUACGUGUCAAGCACUUUAACCAACUUUGGAGGAGUCGCUCACCUCUAAAAGUGAAGAUUUGCGUGUGGCUAGCAUUGAAAAGAAAAGUACCCACAGUAGACAACCUCUUGAGAAAGGGUGGAGCGGUGAAGAAAGUUGUGUCUUUUGCUUGACAUCGAGGAAGACAACGGAUCACUUAUUCGCAAGCUACCAAAGUACUAAAGCCCUGCUGGCGACUUUGCUCCCAAACAAACAAUACCUCCCUAAUUGUUUGUCUAUCUGUCAGCUAUGGGACGAAAGCAAACUUAAAGGUGGUGCGCUAGGAAAGAAGGAGGUGGCCACGGUUAUCACCAAGUGGUGGGUUGUUUGGCUGAAAAGAAAUUGUCGUAUUUUCAAGGAAGUGAGACAUUCACCGUGUUUCUUGUUAAACAAGAUCCGAUCGCUCAUAGAACAUUGGGAUCAGAUCUGUGUUAACUAAUUACGACCCGAUCACUCUGAGAGCAAUACUUUUUUUUUUUGGUCGAUUUAGGAGACCUGGUUGUCUCAUUAUGCAGCUGAGUUCACUUUCUAAAUGAAUGAAGCAAUAACAUACUAUCUUUUUUAAAAAAAAAAAAACUUUUUGAUAUCAAUAGUAUUCUAGCUCAAUUGUAGAUGUACAAAUAUAUAUAUAUAUAUAUAUUAAAAGCAUGCGUGG
RNAcentral lists this long non-coding RNA (1292 nucleotides) under Ananas comosus (pineapple). RNAcentral's name for it is "long non-coding RNA (ACOM_LNC014383)". Lineage: Eukaryota; Viridiplantae; Streptophyta; Magnoliopsida; Poales; Bromeliaceae. The record is from RNAcentral.